GGUCACUUGGUGCAGUGGUUAAGCUACCCGUUUCCAAAAAACCCGGACUCGGGCUGUCGCCGGGGGUUCGAAUCCCCUCGUGACUG
Non-coding RNA from Mycena albidolilacea, 86 nucleotides. The record is from the annotation of a GenBank genome assembly. NCBI's taxonomy places the organism in Eukaryota, Fungi, Basidiomycota, Agaricomycetes, Agaricales, Mycenaceae.